RNAcentral lists this ribosomal RNA (464 nucleotides) under uncultured bacterium. Its description in RNAcentral is "partial 16S ribosomal RNA". It matches the Rfam family "Bacterial small subunit ribosomal RNA", at positions 339 to 795 of the family's 1533-position model. The record is from RNAcentral.
CUACGGGUUGCUGCAGUGGGGAAUAUUGCACAAUGGGGGAAACCCUGAUGCAGCGACGCCGCGUGCGGGAAGAAGGCCUUAGGGUUGUAAACCGCUUUCAAUUGUGAAGAAGGGAUGAGAGUUAAUAGCUUUCUGACUUGACGGUAGCAUUAGAAGAAGCACCGGCUAAUUUCGUGCCAGCAGCCGCGGUAAUACGAAAGGUGCAAGCGUUGUUCGGAUUUACUGGGCGUAAAGAGAUCGUAGGUGGUUUGUUAAGUCGGAUGUGAAAUCCCGGGGCUCAACCUCGGAACUGCAUCCGAUACUGGCAGGCUAGAGUUCGGGAGGGGAAUGCGGAAUUCCGUGUGUAGCAGUGAAAUGCGCAGAUAUACGGAGGAACACCUGAGGCGAAGGCGGCAUUCUGGACCGAUACUGACACUGAGGAUCGAAAGCGUGGGUAGCAAACAGGAUUAGAUACCCCUGUAGUC